RNAcentral lists this ribosomal RNA (289 nucleotides) under uncultured bacterium. RNAcentral describes it as "partial 16S ribosomal RNA". It matches the Rfam family "Bacterial small subunit ribosomal RNA", at positions 29 to 334 of the family's 1533-position model. The record is from RNAcentral.
AACGAACGCUGGCGGCAGGCUUAAUACAUGCAAGUCGAACGAGAACGCACCUUCGGGUGUUAUUAGAGUGGCGCACGGGUGAGUAACGCGUGGGAAUGUACCAAGAAGUAAGGGAUAACAGUUGGAAACGACUGCUAAUACCUUAUAAUGACUCCGGUCUAAAGAUUUAUCGCUUCUUGAUCAGCCCGCGUAAGAUUAGUUUGUUGGUGGGGUAAUGGCCUACCAAGACUACGAUCUUUAGCUGGUCUGAGAGGAUGAUCAGCCACACUGGAACUGAGACACGGUCCAG